CCUACGGGGGGCUGCAGUGGGGAAUAUUGCACAAUGGGGGAAACCCUGAUGCAGCGACGCCGCGUGAGUGAAGAAGUACUUCGUUACGUAAAGCUCUAUCAGCAGGGAAGAAAAUGACGGUACCUGAGUAAGAAGCCCCUGCUAACUACGUGCCAGCAGCCGCGGUAAUACGUAGGGGGCAAGCGUUAUCCGGAUUUACUGGGUGUAAAGGGAGCGUAGACGGUGCGCCAAGUCUGGAGUGAAAUGCCGGAGCUUAACUGCGGAACUGCUUUGGAAACUGGCGAGCUAGAGUGCGGGAGGGGGAAGUGGAAUGCCUAGUGUAGCGGUGAAAUGCGUAGAUAUGAGGAGGAACACCGGUGGCGAAGGCGGCUUACUGGACAGUGACUGACGUUGAGGCUCGAAAGCGUGGGGAGCAAACAGGAUUAGAUACCCUGGUAGUC
This 440-nucleotide ribosomal RNA is filed under the name uncultured bacterium. RNAcentral describes it as "partial 16S ribosomal RNA". It matches the Rfam family "Bacterial small subunit ribosomal RNA", at positions 338 to 795 of the family's 1533-position model. The record is from RNAcentral.